UGUGUUCUCACAAAAAUGUGUCUAACAAACGAUGGGGUCCACAAAACAAACAAAACACGUGUUAGGGAUUCUCACAAAUCUCUCACAACUUUCUCAAACGUGUUCUCACAAAUCUCUCACAACUUUCUCAAACGUGUUCUCACAAAUCUCUCACAACUUUCUCAAACGUGUUCUCACAAAAAGGUGAGUUCACCAAAAAAAAAAGAAACACAUGUUCACACAAAACUGCCAAAGCAUUACAUACACAGUACAGUAAGAAAUAUAUAUAUAUAGUUAUAAAUGGUGUAAUUUUGAACAUCUAAUGUUGGUAAGGUGUCAGGAAAGGUAAUAAUUAUAAACACACUUUAGUGCUAAAGUAACAACGAUAUGCUCACAACAUUCUGUCGUCCCAAAUGGACCACAAAUAAUUCCACAAAAGCAUUUUAGGUCUGAAUGCUCUCACACAAAGUGAAGUAGCCAUUCUAGGUCUGAAUGCUCUCACACAAAGUGAAGUAGCCAUUUUAGGUCUGAAUGCUCUCACACAAAGUGAAGUAGCCAUUUUAGGUCUGAAUGCUCUCACACAAAGUGAAGUAGCCAUUUUAGGUCUGAAUGCUCUCACACAAAGUGAAGUAGCCAUUUUAGGUCUGAAUGCUCUCACACAAAGUGAAGUAGCCAUUUUAGGUCUGAAUGCUCUCACACAAAGUGAAGUAGCCAUUUUAGGUCUGAAUGCUCUCACACAAAGUGAAGUAGCCAUUUUAGGUCUGAAUGCUCUCACACAAAGUGAAGUAGCCAUUCUAGGUCUGAAUGCUCUCACACAAAGUGAAGUAGCCAUUUUAGGUCUGAAUGCUCUCACACAAAGUGAAGUAGCCAUUUUAGGUCUGAAUGCUCUCACACAAAGUGAAGUAGCCAUUUUAGGUCUGAAUGCUCUCACACAAAGUGAAGUAGCCAUUUUAGGUCUGAAUGCUCUCACACAAAGUGAAGUAGCCAUUUUAGGUCUGAAUGCUCUCACACAAAGUGAAGUAGCCAUUCUAGGUCUGAAUGCUCUCACACAAAGUGAAGUAGCCAUUUUAGGUCUGAAUGCUCUCACACAAAGUGAAGUAGCCAUUUUAGGUCUGAAUGCUCUCACACAAAGUGAAGUAGCCAUUUUAGGUCUGAAUGCUCUCACACAAAGUGAAGUAGCCAUUUUAGGUCUGAAUGCUCUCACACAAAGUGAAGUAGCCAUUCUAGGUCUGAAUGCUCUCACACAAAGUGAAGGUAGUCUAGUGGUUAGAGGAGGCAGGUAGCCUAGUGGUUAGAGGAGGCAGGUAGCCUAGUGGUUAGAGGAGGCAGGUAGCCUAGUGGUUAGAGGAGGCAGGUAGCCUAGUGGUUAGAGGAGGCAGGUAGCCUAGUGGUUAGAGGAGGCAGGUAGCCUAGUGGUUAGAGGAGGCAGGUAGUCUAGUGGUUAGAGGAGGCAGGUAGCCUAGUGGUUAGAGGAGGCAGGUAGCCUAGUGGUUAGAGGAGGCAGGUAGUCUAGUGGUUAGAGGAGGCAGGUAGCCUAGUGGUUAGAGGAGGCAGGUAGCCUAGUGGUUAGAGGAGGCAGGUAGCCUAGUGGUUAGAGGAGGCAGGUAGCCUGGUGGUUAGAGGAGGCUGGUAGCCUAGUGGUUAGAGGAGGCAGGUAGCCUAGUGGUUAGAGGAGGCAGGUAGCCUAGUGGUUAGAGGAGGGAGGUAGCCUAGUGGUUAGAGGAGGCUGGUAGCCUAGUGGUUAGAGGAGGCAGGUAGUCUAGUGGUUAGAGGAGGCAGGUAGUCUAGUGGUUAGAGGAGGCAGGUAGCCUAGUGGUUAGAGGAGGCAGGUAGCCUAGUGGUUAGAGGAGGCAGGUAGCCUAGUGGUUAGAGGAGGCAGGUAGCCUAGUGGUUAGAGGAGACAGGUAGCCUAGUGGUUAGAGGAGGCAGGUAGUCUAGUGGUUAGAGGAGGCAGGUAGCCUAGUGGUUAGAGGAGACAGGUAGCCUAGUGGUUAGAGGAGGCAGGUAGCCUAGUGGUUAGAGGAGACAGGUAGCCUAGUGGUUAGAGGAGGCAGGUAGUCUAGUGGUUAGAGGAGACAGGUAGUCUAGUGGUUAGAGGAGGCAGGUAGUCUAGUGGUUAGAGGAGACAGGUAGUCUAGUGGUUAGAGGAGGCAGGUAGUCUAGUGGUUAGAGGAGGCAGGUAGCCUAGUAGUUAGAGUGUUGGGUCGAAUCCCCGAGCUGACAAGGUAAAAAUCUGUCGUUCUGCCCCUGAACAAGGCAGUUAACCCACUGUUCCCCAGUAGCCUAGUUAAAUAAAGGUUCAGUUCUCUGUCUCUUUCACAGUCAUCAACAUGGGUUUUUACUUAACAGAGGUCUUCUGUCUCUUUCACAGUCAACAACAUGGGUUUUCUUAUUAACAGAGGUCCACUCUCUCUUUCACAGUCAACAACAUGGGUUUUCUAAUUAACAGAGGUCCACUCUCUCUUUCACAGUCAACAACAUGGGUUUUCUAAUUAACAGAGGUCCACUCUCUCUUUCACAGUCAACAACAUGGGUUUUCAGAGGUCCACUCUCUCUUUCACAGUCAACAACAUGGGUUUUCUUAUUAACAGAGGUCCUCUGUCUCUUUCACAGUCAACAACAUGGGUUUUCUUAACAGAGGUCCACUCUCUCUUUCACAGUCAACAACAUGGGUUUUCUUAUUAACAGAGGUCCACUCUCUCUUUCACAGUCAACAACAUGGGUUUUCUUAUUAACAGAGGUCCACUCUCUCUUUCACAGUCAACAACAUGGGUUUUCUUAUUAACAGAGGUCCACUCUCUCUUUCACAGUCAACAACAUGGGUUUUCAGAGGUCCACUCUCUCUUUCACAGUCAACAACAUGGGUUUUCUAAUUAACAGAGGUCCACUCUCUCUUUCACAGUCAACAA
Molecule: long non-coding RNA, 2888 nt
Organism: Oncorhynchus keta (chum salmon)
Lineage: Eukaryota; Metazoa; Chordata; Actinopteri; Salmoniformes; Salmonidae
Exons: 6
Source: RefSeq, a predicted model, not a curated record